This 461-nucleotide long non-coding RNA is filed under the name Pongo abelii (Sumatran orangutan). Its description in RNAcentral is "lincRNA". Lineage: Eukaryota; Metazoa; Chordata; Mammalia; Primates; Hominidae. The record is from RNAcentral.
AGUUUCCUUGCACAAGCUCUCUCUCUUUUUUGCUUGCUGCCAUCCACGUAAGAUGUGACUUGAUCCUCCUUGCCUUCCUCCGUGAUUGUGAGACUUCCCCAGCCAUGUGGAACUAUCCUUCAGUACAAUGUUGCGCAGUCACUGUGAGAAUAUCCAUCUGUCCUGAACUUAGGGAAAAGCAAAGAAUACACGGGGACAGUUGAACAAUUCUGGAUGGGAGGAAUGAACAACUCUGGACCACCACCUUUAUGAACUGUAACACUCACCUGGAAGGUCUGCAGUUUCAGUCUUGAGGCCAGUGAGACCAGGAACCCACCGGAAGGAACGAACAACUCCAGAUGUGCCGCCUUUAAGAGCUGUAACACUCAUCCUGAAGGUCUGCAGCUUCACUCCUGAAGUCAGCGAGACCACGAACCCACCAGAAAGAAGAAACUCCGCACACAUCUGAAAAUAUGAAGGAA